Long non-coding RNA from Passer domesticus (house sparrow), 1049 nucleotides. RefSeq lists it as uncharacterized. The transcript is spliced from 6 exons. Lineage: Eukaryota; Metazoa; Chordata; Aves; Passeriformes; Passeridae. The record is from RefSeq and is a predicted model, not a curated record.
UUGUGGAGAGAAGUAAAAUGAGUCAGCUUGCAUCAGCUGUGAAAAUAUCUAAGGUGUUUUACCUCUCUGAAGGUUUGGCCUUUAUUUCCCAGCAAAACUUUGAGUAGCUGCUUAAAAAGUUGGAAGUCCUGCAUAACACCAGCAUUGAAGGACUGUAAGCAGGACAGCCUCAACAAGGGAGCGGGUAUUUGUCCUGCUGCAAGUUUUGUGUAUGUUUGACAAAUUGUCAUAAGAAGAGGUCUCCAGGACUCUUGUUUCUCUAAGUGCUGAAGGAAUUUGCUACCUCCAGUCCAGGACAGAGACUGAACAUCUGCAAUGAGGAGGAAGGAAUUUACUAAUAAUACGGAGCUUGGUCAUGCUUCUCAAGAUGAGUUCUAAAAGAUCAUCCUCAAAAACAUUAUGCUCUUCAUGACAUCAGUGCCAGUUUCAAGUGAGCCCUUGUCAUGUGCAGCUGGACUCUCACCAGAGCAUCUCAUGCAGUAACAAGCACAGUGAAACUUUAAUUCCCUCUUUGGCAUUCAACGUAUCAUUCUUUGUAAGCUAAAAUCAGCACAAAUGUCAGCCCAGUAUCAGGAAGGUGACCCUGUUCUCCACCAGCAGUGUCUAUCACAUUAUUCAACCAAAAUUAGAACUAUCAAGUCUUAAUAAGAUCUCGGUUGACAGAAAAGCAGACUAUUUUUUUCAAAAAUAGAAAAAAAACUUAUCAAAACCAUCUUGUUGCAUACAAAUGGACCUGAAAUAUUGCAUUUAGUAGCUAAUAAACUUUUCCUUGAAUUGUCUAGUUGCUUGGUGAGGGACAAAACCCUAUUAUUAGUAUUAGGAAGUUAAAUCUUGGCACAUAUUCUCAAGGCCUUACUUGAAUAAAUAAGACAUUUCUUAUGUAGCAUUAAAGUACCUAACACUGGAACAGUACUUCAAGUAAGUUGCCACCAUCCUAAGAAAACAUGGGCAUUAAGACAUCUGAUGGUAAUAAAACCAGACUGUCAACAGAGACCAAUCUCCUUCCUCUAUUGUCUUCCUAUUUUUCAGAAAAAAAAAAAAAAAGAGAA